AGGCCCAGGGUUCACCAGUUCGGAUACCUGGCGUGUACCUACACAUCACUCAGCAAGCCAUGUUGUGGCGGCGUCCCAUAUACAAAAUAUAGGAAGAUGGGCAUGGAU
Ceratotherium simum simum (southern white rhinoceros) is the source of this 108-nucleotide non-coding RNA. The record is from RefSeq and is a predicted model, not a curated record. NCBI's taxonomy places the organism in Eukaryota, Metazoa, Chordata, Mammalia, Perissodactyla, Rhinocerotidae.